AUUGAACGCUGGCGGCAUGCUUUACACAUGCAAGUCGAACGGCAGCGCGGGCUUCGGCCUGGCGGCGAGUGGCGAACGGGUGAGUAAUACAUCGGAACGUGCCCAGUAGUGGGGGAUAGCUCGGCGAAAGCCGGAUUAAUACCGCAUACGACCUGAGGGUGAAAGCGGGGGAUCUUCGGACCUCGCGCUAUUGGAUCGGCCGAUGGCAGAUUAGCUAGUUGGUGGGGUAACGGCCUACCAAGGCGACGAUCCGUAGCUGGUCUGAGAGGAGGACCAGCAACACUGGAACUGAGACACGGUCCAGAGUCCUACGGGAGGCAGCAGUGGGGAAUUUUGGACAAUGGGCGAAAGCCUGACGGAGCAAUGCCGCGUGAGUGAAGAAGGUCUUCGGAUCGUAAAACUCUGUUAGUAGGGAAGAACAGAAGUGAAAGAAAAAAUGCACGUCUUGACGGUACCUAAACAGAAAGCAACGGCUAACUACGUG
Molecule: ribosomal RNA, 484 nt
Filed under: uncultured bacterium
Lineage: Bacteria
Description: partial 16S ribosomal RNA
Rfam family: Bacterial small subunit ribosomal RNA
Source: RNAcentral